CGGCUCACUUCGGCAUCACAUAUACUAAAAUCGAAAUGACAGAGAAGAUUAGCAUGGCCCCUGCGCAAGCAUGACACGCAAAUUUGUGAUGCGUUCCAUAUAUUG
RNAcentral lists this small nuclear RNA (105 nucleotides) under Sorex araneus (European shrew). The record is from RNAcentral. Lineage: Eukaryota; Metazoa; Chordata; Mammalia; Eulipotyphla; Soricidae.